Molecule: ribosomal RNA, 608 nt
Filed under: uncultured bacterium
Lineage: Bacteria
Description: bacterial SSU rRNA
Rfam family: Bacterial small subunit ribosomal RNA
Source: RNAcentral
GUAACACGUGGGAACCUUCCUAGGGGUACGGAACAACUCAGGGAAACUUGAGCUAAUACCGUAUACGUCCGUGAGGAGAAAGAUUUAUCGCCCUUAGACGGGCCCGCGUCGGAUUAGCUAGUUGGUGGGGUAACGGCCUACCAAGGCGACGAUCCGUAGCUGAUCUUAGAGGAUGAUCAGCCACACUGGGACUGAGACACGGCCCAGACUCCUACGGGAGGCAGCAGUGGGGAAUCUUGGACAAUGGGCGCAAGCCUGAUCCAGCCAUGCCGCGUGAGUGAAGAAGGUCUUCGGAUUGUAAAGCUCUUUUGCCAGGGACGAUAAUGACGGUACCUGGAGAAUAAGCCCCGGCAAACUUCGUGCCAGCAGCCGCGGUAAUACGAAGGGGGCUAGCGUUGUUCGGAAUUACUGGGCGUAAAGCGCACGUAGGCGGGUCGUUAAGUCAGGGGUGAAAUCCCGGAGCUCAACUCCGGAACUGCCUUUGAUACUGGCGAUCUAGAGAUCGGAAGAGGUGAGUGGAAUUCCCAGUGUAGAGGUGAAAUUCGUAGAUAUUGGGAAGAACACCAGUGGCGAAGGCGGCUCACUGGUCCGAUACUGACGCUGAGGUG